AUGGUGAAUUCUAUCCUCCUGUAUGGUUUUUCCCAUAAUAACAGAGUGGGUUUCACCAAGGCCUGUUCAAACUUGCCACUGGUUUCUCCUCAUGACAGUCAGAUUGCAGAGCUGGAAGACCCUCAGCACUACAAAAUGCUGAAGCAUCCCAGGCCCCUACAGUGCUUGGUUUUAGCUGAUGAAUUACUGUCUGCAAGAAACAGUGUUGAAAAGCUUUGAGAAAUGUUAUAUGUGAAAUGGAAGAAAACAUGAUUCAGUGAGCAGGACAUGGGAAAUCCAAAUGAAAUGGUACUGCUUUUUAAUAUGCUUUGGUAUUCACCUCCUGUAGAGAAUAAUUCACACCUAUCAAUCUUUUGUAAUGUCAAGCAAAACAUGGUACAGUUCCCAAGGGAACUGGAAUUAAUAAGUCUUUUGAUACAUCACUGACUUCUCUGUUUUGCCACUUAAUUUUCUCCAAUAGCUCACUCACUGAAUCUCUGAGGGCAGUUUCUUUUUCCAGAAAAAAAGGAUGUGGCACAUUUUUAUUCAAGAAUCAUUUUGGUGUUCUCACAUGGACAGGAAGAUGAUGUGAAAUUUCAUUCUUUAUAUAGUCAAAUAAGGCAGAGCAUCGUAUCAAUAGCACAAACUCUGGAAACAUCAUGAAGGUAAGAAUGAAGGUGUUGGACAUACAUAGUUGAAUACCACAGAUAUUACUAAGAAACUUCUCAGAAGACCAAAAUGGAUGAUGUUAUUUUUUUACCAACAAAUCAUCAGUUUUAAACAUAAAGUCCUGAGGAAGAGCAAGUGUGCAAAUGCUGACUUUGCUAAUAAUCUGUUUCCUGCUGGGCUCCAGUGUUUGUGAUCCAUCUCCUUCUAGAGUUUAUUCCCAAAGAGUAUUUUAGAAAAGCUUACUUAUAUAGAAUGGCCUAGAAAUUUCAUGAAAUUAUUCUGGGAGCAAAUCCAGAUAGUGAAAACUGUGGGAUAUAUUCUUGUUUAUGGAUAUUGAAAAGAACCAUUGAUUAUGGCAGUGUGCUCCCAAGAUACUGAAUAUAUAUCCCUAGAGGAGUAGAGGGAAAUCUUGUCAGUGAUGUGUCACAGUUUAAGCAAAUUUGGUCAGGAAUCACAGCACAACUACAGCAAUAAUAUUUUUUUUACAUUACCCUUCAAAUGAUAUGAGCACAUCUCCAUCUAAAAGCAAGAGUAUAUGCUUUCAGUAAAGUGUAAUUGUCCUAGCAGUCCU
Molecule: long non-coding RNA, 1219 nt
Filed under: Junco hyemalis (dark-eyed junco)
Lineage: Eukaryota; Metazoa; Chordata; Aves; Passeriformes; Passerellidae
Description: lncRNA (ENSJHYG00000001269.1)
Source: RNAcentral